Long non-coding RNA from Synchiropus splendidus (mandarinfish), 1727 nucleotides. RefSeq lists it as uncharacterized. The transcript is spliced from 4 exons. The record is from RefSeq and is a predicted model, not a curated record. NCBI's taxonomy places the organism in Eukaryota, Metazoa, Chordata, Actinopteri, Syngnathiformes, Callionymidae.
ACAACACCGGCUCUGGUGGAGCGAAUAUCUGUCGAAUAUCCAACAUCCAACUAAUUUGACCGCGGUAGAGAAGAAGUCUGGCCUGAAGAGCUGUAGAGGCCGCGGGUCUUUGGCCCUCGUAAGAUCCCGUCCCCAGAGCCCCAAAACCGUUGUUCUGGCUCAGGGUGUCAUGACCGCGGAUACUUUAUGAUCCGUUCCUAACGCGGGUUGGUGUGUGUGAACAGGCUUCAUUAAGUGAAAGUCGCGAGUAAAAACUUGUCGCUGUAGCUAAUCGUAUAGUUCCAAAUAAAGGAAUGGCAGGACGGAGUUUGGUGAAAUACACGUGAACGACGGAUGGUCUUACCGUGCUGACGCCUGACUCCUCUGCCAUCCUACCAGUUGUGAAGAAGACCGCCGCGGAAGGCUGUUUUCAGGUCGGCAGCUAACGCCGCGCAGCACCAACGCGAGUAUUCUCGCUCUCGUUUGUAAACACAGCAGUGGUGAAGGGGGUGUCACUGCCAGAUGCGGUCCGCCGGAAGUUCCGGGUCUGGAACCGGAUGUUAGUAACACGCACGCGCAGGGUCUACGAAUUGUGUUUACUGGUUAUAUCGCGUAAAGUGGUGUUUUUUUUAAUAGUUUUUUAAAUGUUAAAAUAGUGUAUAUUUAACAUUAAAAUCUGGAAAUUAUACAUUUUACGCGCAUGUGCAAGUACGCAGUAUUUACUGUGUACGCGUACAAGUUUUGAGCGUAAUGACGUCACCACGUUGUCACAGUCAAACGUUCUUGUUGCAGCAGGUUGAUUUCUACUUGUGUCCGUCAAGAUGAGGAGUUUCACCUACUUUAAAUUAUUAAGAGAUUUUCUCUGAAACGGAAUCAUUGACUCCAGCCUGUCAAAGCGCCAGAGGAAAGACAUACGCCGUUCAUCAUGCAGUUUUGCAUUGAAAGACGGCAGGUUGUUCUACAUGGGAUCCCACCGACAAUACCUCCGGUUAGUGGUUUUGUCCGAGGAAGAAAAGAAGUCAGUUCUGCACGGGUGCCAUGACCACCCUGGAACUGGAAACCAUGGAGGUUUGAGGGCGACCAGAGACAGGGUUGUUUCUGGAUACUACUGGCCAACAUGAAAUACUGAUACCAUGUUCCAUGGCUAUGGAGCUUUCCUCAACAAUCGUCCACAAACCACUGUGGAGUUAUGAUGAUCAUGGCAAAUGCUGUUUUUGCAUGGCCAGCACUUUGCCUUCUGGACACCAGAGGCUGUCGACCUGAGCCAGGGUGGACUUGAGCCUCUUCUUCGGCUGCCUCGCAGAAAGAUCAGCAGCAAGACACUUUCGGUCAUUGAGUAAUGGCAAAAAUCCGGCUUCAUCAACAGUGUCAUUCCAAUUGAUGGUAUUUGACUGGGUCACAGGAUCAGCCCAGAACUGUACAGGAUCUCCACCUGGCUGUGCAGUGGACACAUGAAAAUCCAGGCAUCUUUAGUGGAGAACUGAAGAUACCCACUUUCCAUGCCAUGUCAACCAAUGAGCAGAAAGAGGCAGUGAGAUGUCUGCUGGAGGCGAAUGACAGUGGCGAUAACGAUGAUAUCAUCAGUGCCAGGCAUUCUUUCAUGUUUGUGUUUAACUGCAUGGAGGAUAUGAGAGUGUUUUUGCGUGAAUGUUGGGAUAACAGAGGCCUGAAGGUGAAUGCGGAAUGUGUUCAAGCCGAUAGUAAGUAGGUGCAUGUUGUCUGUUUCAUCUGUUGAAUUCUGUUCAGUC